This 107-nucleotide ribosomal RNA is filed under the name Phycisphaerae bacterium. Lineage: Bacteria; Pseudomonadati; Planctomycetota; Phycisphaerae. The record is from RNAcentral. RNAcentral also lists the same sequence under 1 other name.
GCCGGUGACUUUAGUGACAGUGUUCACCUGAUCCCAUCCCGAACUCAGUAGUUAAGCCUGUCACGCCGAUGAUACUGCCACUGCGGGAAAGUAGGUCAUUGCCGGCU